GGGGUUGUAGCUCAGUGGUAGAGUGCUCGUCUAGCAUGUACGAGAGGCCCUGGGUUCGAUCCUCAGCACCA
This 71-nucleotide transfer RNA is filed under the name Ictidomys tridecemlineatus (thirteen-lined ground squirrel). RNAcentral's name for it is "Spermophilus tridecemlineatus (thirteen-lined ground squirrel) tRNA". It matches the Rfam family "tRNA". From Rfam's summary of the family: Transfer RNA (tRNA) molecules are approximately 80 nucleotides in length. The record is from Rfam by way of RNAcentral. Lineage: Eukaryota; Metazoa; Chordata; Mammalia; Rodentia; Sciuridae.